RNAcentral lists this ribosomal RNA (440 nucleotides) under uncultured bacterium. Its description in RNAcentral is "bacterial SSU rRNA". It matches the Rfam family "Bacterial small subunit ribosomal RNA", at positions 338 to 793 of the family's 1533-position model. The record is from RNAcentral.
CCUACGGGGGGCAGCAAUUAGGAAUCUUGCACAAUGGGGGAAACCCUGAUGCAGCGACGCCGCGUGAAGGAUGAAGCUUCUCGGAGUGUAAACUUCUUUUGACAGGGAAGAAUUUUGACGGUACCUGUCGAAUAAGCCCCGGCUAACUACGUGCCAGCAGCCGCGGUAAUACGUAGGGGGCGAGCGUUGUCCGAAUUUACUGGGCGUAAAGCGCGCGUAGGCGGUUUCUUAAGUCUGGGGUGAAAGGUUCAACGCUCAACGUGAACAGUGCCUUGGAUACUGGGAGACUUGAGUCUGGGAGGGGGCAGUGGAAUUCCUGGUGUAGCGGUGAAAUGCGUAGAUAUCAGGAGGAACACCGGUGGCGAAGGCGGCUGCCUGGCCUAAGACUGACGCUGAGGUGCGAAAGCGUGGGUAGCGAACGGGAUUAGAUACCCUGGUAG